This 497-nucleotide ribosomal RNA is filed under the name uncultured bacterium. RNAcentral describes it as "partial 16S ribosomal RNA". It matches the Rfam family "Bacterial small subunit ribosomal RNA", at positions 28 to 507 of the family's 1533-position model. The record is from RNAcentral.
GAUGAACGCUGGCGGCGUGCCUAAUACAUGCAAGUCGAGCGAACGGACGAGAAGCUUGCUUCUCUGAUGUUAGCGGCGGACGGGUGAGUAACACGUGGAUAACCUACCUAUAAGACUGGGAUAACUUCGGGAAACCGGAGCUAAUACCGGAUAAUAUUUUGAACCGCAUGGUUCAAAAGUGAAAGACGUUCUUGCUGUCACUUAUAGAUGGAUCCGCGCUUCAUUAGCUAGUUGGUAAGGUAACGGCUUACCAAGGCAACGAUGCAUAGCCGACCUGAGAGGGUGAUCGGCCACACUGGAACUGAGACACGGUCCAGACUCCUACGGGAGGCAGCAGUAGGGAAUCUUCCGCAAUGGGCGAAAGCCUGACGGAGCAACGCCGCGUGAGUGAUGAAGGUCUUCGGAUCGUAAAACUCUGUUAUUAGGGAAGAACAUAUGUGUAAGUAACUGUGCACAUCUUGACGGUACCUAAUCAGAAAGCCACGGCUAACUACGUG